GGGCCGCUAGCUCAAUUGGUAGAGCAUUCGCCUCUUAAGCGACAGGUUGCCGGUUCGAUUCCGGCGCGGCCCA
This 73-nucleotide transfer RNA is filed under the name Elusimicrobia bacterium RIFCSPLOWO2_01_FULL_59_12. Its description in RNAcentral is "tRNA-Lys". It matches the Rfam family "tRNA". Rfam says of the family: Transfer RNA (tRNA) molecules are approximately 80 nucleotides in length. The record is from RNAcentral. Lineage: Bacteria; Pseudomonadati; Elusimicrobiota.